Molecule: unclassified non-coding RNA, 390 nt
Filed under: soil metagenome
Description: partial contains 5.8S ribosomal RNA, internal transcribed spacer 2, and large subunit ribosomal RNA
Rfam family: 5.8S ribosomal RNA (bases 1-122)
Source: RNAcentral
GAUGAAGAACGUAGCGAAAUGCGAUACUUGGUGUGAAUUGCAGAAUCCCGUGAACCAUCGAGUCUUUGAACGCAAGUUGCGCCCGAAGCCAUUAGGCCGAGGGCACGCCUGCCUGGGCGUCACACGUCGUUGCCCCCCCAUCUACUCCUUCGGGAUUGCGGGGGGCGGAUGAUGGCCUCCCGUGCGCCUCGUCGCGCGGUUGGCAUAAAUGCCAAGUCCUCGGCGACGCACGCCACGACAAUCGGUGGUUGCGAAACCUCGGUUGCCCGUCGUGUGCGGUCGUCGCGCAUCGAGGGCUCGAAAAAAUGCUCGGCUCCGGCUGGGCUUUCAACGCGACCCCAGGUCAGGCGGGGUUACCCGCUGAAUUUAAGCAUAUCAAUAAGCGGAGGA